Molecule: ribosomal RNA, 301 nt
Filed under: uncultured bacterium
Lineage: Bacteria
Description: partial 16S ribosomal RNA
Rfam family: Bacterial small subunit ribosomal RNA
Source: RNAcentral
CAGUCGCCGCGGGAAUACAGAGGAUGCAAGCGUUAUCCGGAUUUAUUGGGCGUAAAGCGAGCGCAGGCGGUUAGAUAAGUCUGAAGUUAAAGGCUGUGGCUUAACCAUAGUACGCUUUGGAAACUGUUUAACUUGAGUGCAAGAGGGGAGAGUGGAAUUCCAUGUGUAGCGGUGAAAUGCGUAGAGAUUAGGAGGAACACCAGUGGCGAAGGCGGCUUUUUGGCCUGUAACUGACACUGAGGCGCGAAAGCGUGGGGAGCAAACAGGAUUAGAGACCCCGGUAGUCCCUGUCUCUUAUACA